CCUGCUGCGUCCCAAGGACGGCUGCCCCCUUCAUCCUCGCUUCUGAAAUGCUCCUUUGCCCAUGGCUACGUUCCCCUGUCCCCAGAGCCACCUCUCAUGGAUCCCGCAUCCCUAAUUCUCAGUAGUACCACUGCUUCCCCAAAUCCCACUUUGCUGCAGCAGGUCUGGGCAAUCCCCAGCAUGUGGUCACACCUUUGCUAGGUCCCUUUUCCAAACUCCAUACUCUUCUGUGCCUUCUUUGCAGAUGCCAUGGAUCUGCCCCGGCAAGACCUUCCCCCACUAUGCUUUUGAAUAACGUUGCUUUUGUAUGGCGAUGUUUGCCUUCAUCCCCACUUCUGCACAUCCCUCUGCUGCUGCUGUUGUAUUCCCAAGCUUGGAGGCUUGCGAGGUAUUGUACCGAAACAUACACGUUUUGUCAUUUCUUCCUGGACAUCUGUGUUUUGGGCAGCCAACGCUGGGCUACAGGAUGGACGGGUGUCUGUUCUGACUGAGCUCUGACGUGCUUAUUGCUUUAUGGUCACGCUCCCAGCUCUGCAGGAAUGCCUUUUUACUCAAACUGUAUUUUCUAGCACCACCCUGUGAAGAGGAGCGGUGUUGUUUUGCAGUCACGAAGUCCAAGUUCACACACUUCAGUUCUGAUGUUUCUUCUGUCAUGUAGGGUUUCUGGUCUCUGCAGCGGGACCGGUGCCCCGAAGGCAUUUCUGUGUGUGUUAACUGCCACCUGCAAAGGGCUGUUGCUGAGCUGAUGCUACUGGAAGAAUGUUGCCACGAAAUCCAUCUGAAGGCAACAGCUCUCUGGCAUAGGAAGUGUUACUGGUGGGAGGUGUGUUAGAUCUGACUAUUAACUCUUGCCUAUUUACCCCAAAGCAACUUGAUGGUUUUUUUUAAUCUCUUAAGUAUGGGAUAAUUCCCACUAAUUUCUUGUCUGUGCUUUAGCUAAGUGUCUCUAGAAAUGCUUGUAGGGAACCAGUUGGGUGGCUCUGUAAGUUCUGUGAUUGCGCUAAAAGUGGGGAUCAAACAAUUCCCUUCUUACAUAGGAGAUGGUCUUCAGCUACCCUGGCUCGCCCAGUGAUACUUCUAAAUUUGUAUUUAAAGUAGUAAAUGUUGCAAAUUUUACACCCCUCCACAAUUCCCUGCAAGAUCCCCUUAGGAUAGAAAGGAGAGUGGAGCUGGUGCUGAGGUUACUGACAGCACCUCACCUGCACUGAGGAGCAAACCGAGGAUUAAAGAUGGGCUUGUGCCUGUGUUAGUCACCUGCCCAGCUGCUCCAGCUCCCUCAGCCUCUCUGUUUGGCCUGACUUUGGUUUGCAGGCACAGAACUGUGUGAAUAAGGUCACAAAAUGCUCACGUUCAUUUCACUGGGUAAAGGAAGGAUUGGAAACUGCAUCGGUGGGUGAAGAUGUUAAUACCUGUUCCAGGUCGGGUCUCCACCCCCAGCUGUCUUACAGCUUAAAUCUUAUGAUGAUUAUGAGGAUAGCUACCUUUGUAUAGAAUACUCUGUGCAUUUGUUGUUACUCAGUAGUAAUAAUGUUUCAUGAACAUAGGGGAGGAAUGAAGUCUGCGCCGCAGCUGUUGUUGGUGAAUCCAUUAUCCUGCCUUCCUUCCCAGCACUUCACCUACGGGAUGAAAAGCCUUGUACUGUUAAGUUUGGGUGCUGGAAACGCAACGGAACAAGAUGUGUGCAGUGAAUCCCAGAUGCGCCCUCUGAAGUCCCACUGAACCACAUGAGUUCUGGAGUUUCUUAGGCUGUAAAAACUUUGCUUCUCUACGGACCCGGAAUCUGUGUUAUCUAGGUUAAGCUGACUUUCUUAGCCACUGUCUGCUGCAUUAACCCAACUGGGAAUCACAAAAUAGUCAGUGAGAAGAGAGAACAAGAGACACCUGCAGAGAAUGAUUCAUUCUGUGCCUGUUCGACACCGCUCUGGAUGGAACAAGUCUCCUUGCUGGGUGUUGUCUCUCCCCAUCAAUUCUCAGCAGAAGCUAGACAACCAGUUCUGACCAGAAGCCUGACUUACGGGUGCCACGUGAGAUGAAUUGUACCACAGAUGACUAAUUUUUCUCAUUCAUCAUACCUGCUUUUGGCCUAUAGAAGUUGGGUCAUCAAGGAAGAUAUUGAAGAGGACAGGCCCCAGUACCGACCCCUGAGGAACACCACUCGUGAUCAGUCGCCAGCUGGAUUUAACUCCAUUCACCACCACUCUGUGGGCUCAGCCCUCCAGCCAGUGCUUUACUCAGCAAAGAGUGUAUCUGACCAAGCCAUGAGAUGCCAGCUUCUCCAGGAGAAUACUGUGGGAGACAGUGUCAAAGGCUUUGCUGAAGCCUCGGUAGACUGUAUUGACAUGCAUAAUAUAAUCACAGAAUCACCAAGGUUGGAAAAGACCUCCAAGAUCAUCUGUUCCAACCAUCCCUCUACCACCAGUAUUUCCUGACUAACCCAUACAGAUGGACUAUGCCAGAGUUGGUUCUCAGACUUUCUAGACAACUAAAAACUAUGUUUUUCUUUGUUUUAUGUUUUUCUGUGGGAGUUGACACAUUUUAGGUAAAAUACUUGAAACAGAGAGAAAAUGAGCAGUGAUUAACGCACUUUCACCAAGAACGUAUUCUUGUUAUGGUCUUGUGGAGUACUGGAGAUUUACAGAGCACAAUGUGUAACCUCUAGGCCAAAUGCUCGUAGUUGUAAGCUUUAUGCAUUUCUGAGCCAUAGUUCAGCCUGUUGUUGGAUGUGGUAAUCUUUGAUUAUGGGACUGCUUAUUCAUUUGCUGAAAAGAUGUGACUUAUGUAGUUGAGAGAGACUGUCUUCAGUGGAAGCCUUGCCUCAGUUAUUGUAAGAAGAGGCAAGAUACACCCAUAAAACUGCUGAAUUCUGCUGUGGAGGAAUUAAUUCAAUCCAUGUGUCUGCCACAAUGUUUUUUUUGUGAGAUGAUAGUGAUGGACAAGUCACUUCAAGCAGAAUUUGGUCAGGAGACUGUUUAGCACAUGGGAAGUCAGUGGGAGUUGUUCUUAAAUAUCUUAAGUGUAAUGAAAAUGCCAAGCACUAUGAAGUAACAGGUCCAAGCUAUCACAAGCUUGGCAGCCAGAACUGGAGUUAUUAACCAGUAUGUUUUCUGGUCAGCUGCUUCACAAAUAACCAUUGUCUUAAAGUUAACAGAUUAUCAUUUUUUCCUUGAAAAGUGAAUGCCCCUUUUGAGGGUAGGACAGAGUAUAUUCUAGUGAGUGGUUCAUGAGUUGACAGAUGCUUAUUGUAAUAAGUGACAUCCCAAUUUCCAGUCAGCUUUUUGGAGACUGCAGAUGGAUUUUAGCUCCUGGUCUCCAACCAGGAGCUCACAGUUGGUGCAGAGCUGGUGAGGUGACCGCCAGGAACCAAGUGAAGCCGGCAGAGAGUGAGAGAAGAAAGAUAACACCGGCUUGGUUGGAUGGGGCUGGAGGACCAGGGAAGGUACCAAUCACAGCUGAGUGAGGCCUUGGAGCCUGAAGAAGGAGGUCUAAAGAUUAAAGGGGAACAGGAGAGAAGGAAAAUUCAAGAUUCAUAUCCCUUACCAUUUCUUCUUCUUCUUCUUUUUAAAUUUUCAUUUGAAAUUAAGAACUAAAAUAAGGAACAAUGCUCAGAAAGUGAAUGCUUCUGGAGACAUUUCUUGUGUGUCUGUGCCCUUUUAUAGGUACAACAACGUAUGGUGCUUUUCACCCUAAAUCUCCUGACUUCUGGGACACAAGCUCGAGAUUGAUGCCAUGAGGUCUAUAUUAACCAUCACAUAAGUGGAAGUCUCUGGAAGAGACUCCAGAGCUGGUAGUUUGGGGCGUUCAUCUGAAACACUGGGAAUUACCAGUUGUGGUGUGAACUAGAGAAAAACAGGCUACAAAGUGUUGGUCAUUGGCAGACCUUUUAAACAUCAGGUCACUUCUCUGAGAAUUUCCUCAGGAAAUGUUCAGAAUAUUCUUGGGUUUCUUCUGAACCAUGUCAGUAAGACAUCUGAAAUACUAACAAGUGCCACAAGGUGAGAAAAUCAUUCUUCCUGACCUGGAUCCAUUCAGUGCAGUUUGGGGUACAGGAUCUUUCCAUUACAACCAGCAUCACUUUGAAGUCAUAUCUGAUACAGAACUUCUGAAUAGUUGCUGGUAUUUGACUGUGUUUGCAGAAAUUGUUUAGUACACGGUGACUGUGUUCUGCUUCAGUGUUUUUUUGUCUAUUUUUAUGUGAGCUUCUGCUCUGUUUCUGAUAGCGUUUGUAUAGAUUCUAUCAAGGAAAACAAAUGUCAUGGGGAAGUUUUAGGUAAUUUUUUUGCUGUCGGGGUGUUUUUUGUUUUUUUUUUUCCUUCUGUAAUGCAGAUGUUCCUAUUUUAAACCUGGUAAAGGCAUUUCCAUCUGAGACGGUGAUACUCUGCUUUGUACACAGAGCAGAGAGAACAGAAACACACCUUUCAAAUUGGCUCAGGGAGCAAUGUGCAGUAUACCAAUUGCUCUCUUUUCCACUGCUGUGGACAUUCCUCUGCAGGAUAAGCAGGCUGCCCAUGUGGUUGCACAGGAGUGGCUGUGCAAAUGACAUGAAACAGGCUGUAGAUACUCCUUUGGUGGAGACCCAGUAAUCUUGAUGUUUUACACACGUGGGGCCUGAUGAAGAGAUGGUAAAACCCAGGGAGACUUUCCCCAUCAGCCUCACAGCUUUGAAUUCAGUUUCAGGUGCAGUUGAGGAUGUAUAUGAAGUAUACAGCUGGGAUUUGGCUGGGAGAACACUUGCCUGUGAGAGUGGAGAGGGAAUUUUUUUCACUGCUCUGGGGUGGUGAGUGAAUUUUAUCUAACACCUUCCACUUGCCUGUAGCCACGUUCAUAGAGCCAUAGAAUGUUCUAUACUGAUUCUGCCCCCAGACUGUAAAGAACAAGAUAAUAACUUUAUUUUAUGUACUGGAGAGCUAAAUUGUUUUCAAAGUCUUAGUUUAGCAGGCAAAGAUGAAUUUAUUUGCCAAAGACGUUCAGAAGCAGCUUGGGAAACUCUGCCAGAGCCCAGCUUUAACCACUAACUGGUGGCUGUUGUACUUAAUAGCUGUCAGGCAUGCUUGCAGUGUGAGGGAGACUGGCACAAAAUCCAGGAUAUAGGGGAUUUUCCUCCAAACAACAGCAAGUGCAAUCAAUUCACAAAUCGUAUAGUUGAAUAAGAAGAAAACCUGCAUCUGCAGCCACUUGCAUGUUGCAUCCCUUACUGGCUCUGCUCCCGUACCUGGGACGAGAAACAACCUUGCUCUUGUUUCACACUCUUUAUCCGUUCUAUCCAGCUCUAUUAACUUAGCGCACUGCUGAACAUUACCUUUGCUCUGCUUGCACUGCUGGCCUUUGCCAUCCUUUUCCCACCUAGAUAUCUUCGUGCUUUCCUGCAUCCUAACCUCCAUGUGUGGAACAAAGUCUGGAAAAUUCUCUCCAUCUGCUCUUCUUCAGAUCAUUCUGGCAGAUGCACUUCGACCCUGAUGCCUGUGGGGCACUGCUGAUAAUGGCCAGAGUGCAAGUUACAUUGUUUUCUAGCCAGCCAAUGUGAAAACACGUUCGUGUUAUUUCUACUGUGGUUUUCAUAUCAACCCCUUUCCUGCCAGGGAGGACAAAGCCAUAAUGCCUUUUUAGUAAUGGCCAACUGUCUUUGGAAGCUGACACAGAUAAGAGCGGCUCUCAGCCCACAAGUUGUUACCUUCCUUCUCCUCGAGUCACAGCUCCACCAGUUUGCUUUUAGCCAUCGUAUUCAUUUUGUUCUCCUUGACUUCUGCCCAUCUGUGAAUGCAGCUCUCUGGCCUCACCAAGGGACUAUGUCAGCAUCCACCCUUUCAGAAUAUGUUAACAGGUCUUGGCUCCAACCAGCAAAGGUCGUUUUUUUGGGGGGUGGCUUUCUUGCAUACGCAGCCACGGAGCCCUUUACAGAGUGACAAAAAGACUUCCUUCCCAUUUGCUAUUACUCACCUAACUGUGUUUGGAAGGGGCGGGCAUCCUAGCUAAUCAGAGCUUCAGACAGGCAAUUCCUCAAAUUGUUUUAGGGUUUUUAAUUAAAACUGUAGGCUUCAGCACCACAUGGCAGAGAGCCAGAAGCAGUCAUCUGACAAUAGCCUUCACCAUCUACCAACAAUAAGGGAAUUCCUAAGUGUACGCUCGGGAGGCUUCUGAAAUGCUGUGAACGGCUGAGAUUGGUGUUUGCAAAGCACCCUGCAACAUUUGGCCUUGCAGGUCUGCCGAUUUUUACAUGAUAUAAACAAAACCCUAUAAUCUCCACCCAGCACAGAGAUACUGACUUGUGUUUAUACUGUCCAGAUCACAGAUGCUGAGCAUGAAUGCAUGAGCAGUCCUUUUGUAUGGUGUUUGACACUUUCUGUGGCUGUCUGCGCUGUUUUUUAAUAUACAGAAUCCCCGGUUCUCCACUGCCUUGCACCCUGUCUAUUCAUUCUCACCCCUGUGAAGUGAGGGUAAAACACUAUCAAAACAAAAUGGUACCACUUUGCAUGUUUUCCACUCAGUUUGUACAGGUGUAAAUGACUACAGAAAGAACAGGGCAGAGCAGAACCUGACCCGCAGUCUGUCUCUCCAUGCGUCAGGGGUCCUGAAGUGGGGUAUGACAGAACAAACACAAGCUGUUACCUUGCCAGUUUUGCUUUUUUGUUUGCUUUUUGGUGUUGUUGUUUAAAAUCAGGCAGCUUGCAGGGAUGACAGAUGCAAAAGUCGGGCAGUACUUGGUUCCUGUAGUCCUCACGUGACGUCUUCUCAUCGAGUAACGAAAGUGUUACCCGUGGCAGAGGUAGGUGGGCAUGAUUACUGGUAUGGGAGCAUGAUUGUCAAUGUGAGUAAGCUCUGAGUAGUUGAGCUGUUGCAGUUAGAGAGAAAAAUCCUCCUUGUUCUUUCUGUUGCUUGUUACGUUACCUUAGCUCUUAUAAACUAUUACAAAGGAGGCUGAACUCUCCAAGCUGGGUCCUGGAAAAGAGUGGCACUCAAUUUUUAGAUGUAGUCAUUACUCUUUUUGUCCUUGUAGCAGCAGAAGGCUAUACCCAUCCUAAGUCAUCUUAAAUCAUCUUCUGAUACUGCUUAACACAUCUCUGCAGGCACGCACUUGAACCUUCUUCCAAAAGAAACGGUGGCUCCUUUCUAUGCUCUCUACACAAAACCCAGCUCUCUGGCUCUUGCCCUACUUUCCUCAGCAGCGCACCAGACCGUCCAAGCCCAAGUCUCUGUUUUCACCCAGAGAGAGAAUUUACUUAUGACACAUAGAUAUCAUUAUCACUCCUUUGCUGGAUGUUUCCCAUAAAUACAGAUCCUGCCUAUUCCUAGGCCCUGGACUACCCUAAACUUUCUCUUUGUUUGUCUGAUUUUUUUACCUCCAGAAAUCCUGUCCGGUUACAACUGUCCAAAUCCUUCAGCUCACACCAUUACCUGCUGUAAGUGCUGCCUUGGGGCUGACCGCCUGCUCGUAAAGGAGCGGCGUACUGCCUUAGUGGUUCCAGCAGGUAGGAAGGAGAUGAAUCUUUGAGAAGGGCCUUGGCUCUGCAGUGCCUUGUGUAAUCGGUGGGUGAGCACUGCACUGUGCCCCAAUUCUGAUAAAACAUGAAGAUUUUGUAUAGUGCUGUUUUCAAAUGUUGUCUCUGGAAAGCAGGAUAAGAAAGCCAGCAGACUCGGUGGCUGCAAAAUAGAAGGCAAUGUAGAUAUAAUGUACUUUGUUAUUAACGCAAGGAAAAUGAUGUUGAAUUGCACCAUAAAUAUCCUUCCAAGAAAAAAAUAUAUCAAAGCUUUGUGUAGAUAAAUGCUGGCAGGAUCUGAAUUGAACAAAUAUUACAUAGUUCAGAGGCUGUUGUACAAUGUGGGAAGAAUGGGCAGAAGUUACGGUCCAGAACAGUAUUUUUUCUCAUCUACAAUUACAAUCUCAACCUUACCACUGCAUUAACAUAUGCACCCAUUUUUAGAAAUGAUGUGUAUUUUCGUGACUCAUUUGAGUGCUCUGUAACUAUUUGUAUGCAAAUGUGUCGCAUUAAACAUUCUCACAGUCACACACUUUCCCCUCCCAUUGGAGUGCAU
Gallus gallus (chicken) is the source of this 8028-nucleotide long non-coding RNA. NCBI's taxonomy places the organism in Eukaryota, Metazoa, Chordata, Aves, Galliformes, Phasianidae. The record is from Ensembl.